This 695-nucleotide ribosomal RNA is filed under the name Streptomyces sp. R1O46. Its description in RNAcentral is "bacterial SSU rRNA". It matches the Rfam family "Bacterial small subunit ribosomal RNA", at positions 112 to 818 of the family's 1533-position model. Lineage: Bacteria; Bacillati; Actinomycetota; Actinomycetes; Kitasatosporales; Streptomycetaceae. The record is from RNAcentral.
AACACGUUGGGCAAUCUGCCCUGCACUCUGGGACAAGCCCUGGAAACGGGGUCUAAUACCGGAUAAUACCUUCCCUCGCAUGGGGGUGGGUUCAAAGCUCCGGCGGUGCAGGAUGAGCCCGCGGCCUAUCAGCUUGUUGGUGAGGUAGUGGCUCACCAAGGCGACGACGGGUAGCCGGCCUGAGAGGGCGACCGGCCACACUGGGACUGAGACACGGCCCAGACUCCUACGGGAGGCAGCAGUGGGGAAUAUUGCACAAUGGGCGAAAGCCUGAUGCAGCGACCCCGCGUGAGGGAUGACGGCCUUCGGGUUGUAAACCUCUUUCAGCAGGGAAGAAGCGCAAGUGACGGUACCUGCAGAAGAAGCCCCGGCUAACUACGUGCCAGCAGCCGCGGUAAUACGUAGGGCGCAAGCGUUGUCCGGAAUUAUUGGGCGUAAAGAGCUCGUAGGCGGUCUGUCGCGUCGGAUGUGAAAGCCCGGGGCUUAACCCCGGGUCUGCAUUCGAUACGGGCAGACUAGAGUGUGGUAGGGGAGAUCGGAAUUCCUGGUGUAGCGGUGAAAUGCGCAGAUAUCAGGAGGAACACCGGUGGCGAAGGCGGAUCUCUGGGCCAUUACUGACGCUGAGGAGCGAAAGCGUGGGGAGCGAACAGGAUUAGAUAGCCCUGGUAGUCCACGCCGUAAACCGGUGGGAACCU